AAUAUUGGGACAUAUAAAAAAAGACAACUCUGUUCCGCAGAGUAGCUGUUGACAUUAUAGUUGCGCAGGAACUUUGUUGACUCUAGAGAACCUCGGGCAAAUCGCACAUCCCCGUGGCGCGACUUUGCAUGCGGAUGUCAUCCAUAUCAACUUUCGAUGCCAGUUUCUGCGCCUACCAUGGUGACCACGGGUAACGGGGAAUCAGGGUUCCAUUCCGUACAGGGACCCUGAGAAACGGCUACCACAUGCAAGGAAGGCAGCAGGCGCGCAAAUGACCCACUCCCGACGCGGGAAGGUAGUGA
Pelobates cultripes (western spadefoot toad) is the source of this 302-nucleotide non-coding RNA. The record is from the annotation of a GenBank genome assembly. Lineage: Eukaryota; Metazoa; Chordata; Amphibia; Anura; Pelobatidae.